CCUACGGGAGGCAGCAGUGGGGACUAUUGGACAAUGGGGGGAACCCUGAACCAGCCAUGCCGCGUGUGUGAAGAAGGCCCUCGGGUUGUAAAGCACUUUCAGUGAGGAAGAACGCCUGGUGGUUAAUACCCAUCAGGAAAGACAUCACUCACAGAAGAAGCACCGGCUAACUCCGUGCCAGCAGCCGCGGUAAUACGGAGGGUGCGAGCGUUAAUCGGAAUUACUGGGCGUAAAGCGCGCGUAGGUGGCUUGAUAAGCCGGUUGUGAAAGCCCCGGGCUCAACCUGGGAACGGCAUCCGGAACUGUCAAGCUAGAGUGCAGGAGAGGAAGGUAGAAUUCCCGGUGUAGCGGUGAAAUGCGUAGAGAUCGGGAGGAAUACCAGUGGCGAAGGCGGCCUUCUGGACUGACACUGACACUGAGGUGCGAAAGCGUGGGUAGCAAACAGGAUUAGAUACCCCUGUAGUC
RNAcentral lists this ribosomal RNA (465 nucleotides) under Vreelandella stevensii. RNAcentral's name for it is "partial 16S ribosomal RNA". It matches the Rfam family "Bacterial small subunit ribosomal RNA", at positions 338 to 795 of the family's 1533-position model. Lineage: Bacteria; Pseudomonadati; Pseudomonadota; Gammaproteobacteria; Oceanospirillales; Halomonadaceae. The record is from RNAcentral.